This 101-nucleotide microRNA precursor is filed under the name Haemonchus contortus (barber pole worm). RNAcentral describes it as "microRNA hco-mir-235 precursor". Its record names the gene hco-mir-235. The record is from miRBase by way of RNAcentral. Lineage: Eukaryota; Metazoa; Nematoda; Chromadorea; Rhabditida; Trichostrongylidae.
AUGAACACUUCGUGUGUCGGCUAGGUCUGGUCGAUUGCCAUGUUUGGCUAUCGAAUAUUGCACUCGCCCCGGCCUGACUGCACCGAAGACCUUUCGACCCU